ACAAUCCAUGAUGGGAUAGCAUGUUGUUCUCUCUCCAUUUGAUUAAAAAUAGAGUUGGCAAUGUUAUUGUUGCCAC
Molecule: transfer RNA, 76 nt
Filed under: Shewanella piezotolerans WP3
Lineage: Bacteria; Pseudomonadati; Pseudomonadota; Gammaproteobacteria; Alteromonadales; Shewanellaceae
Description: tRNA-Glu
Source: RNAcentral